GUACACGCUGUGACUAGCAUAUCAAUAAGCGGAGGAAAAGAAACUAACAAGGAUUCCCCUAGUAACGGCGAGUGAAGCGGGAAGAGCUCAAAUUUGAAAUCUUAAAGGGUUUCCCUUUACGAAUUGUAGUUUAAAGAAGUGUUUUCUGUUGAGGUUUUGGUAAAAGUUCUUUGGAAUAGGACAUCAUAGAGGGUGAGAAUCCCGUAUUUGACCUUUACUUUCAACUUUGUGAUACACUUUCAAAGAGUCGGAUUGUUUGGGAAUGCAGUCCAAGAUGGGUGGUAAAUUUCAUCUAAAGCUAAAUAUUGGCGAGAGACUGAUAGCGAACAAGUACCGUGAGGGAAAGAUGAAAAGAACUUUGAAAAGAUGAGUUAAACAGUACGUGAAAUUGUCAAAAGGGAAGGCGUUUGACACCAGUGUUGUUUUUCUGAAAAUCAAUUAAAGAACUGUUUAUGCUAAGUUGUUUAGACUUUAUCAGCUAACUGUUUAAGUUUUGAGCUUUUCUUUAAUGCACUUUUCAGUUAACAAGUCAACAUCAAUUUCUUUUGCUGUAAAAAAGCUUGAGGAAGGUGGCUUGAGAUUCGUCUUAAGUGUUUAUAGCCUCUUGCCUAUGCAGUCGGAGAGAUUGAGGUCUGCAGCGUAGAUCCUUCGGGGCUAAAUGCAUUUGUGCUAAGUUAUAAGCAUUUUAUAGACAACUUGUUGACUAUGAUUUGUCUUGUAGCUUACUCGCUUAUGUUAUUUUACCUACGCUUAGGAUGUUGACGCGCGUGUGUGCGUG
RNAcentral lists this ribosomal RNA (778 nucleotides) under uncultured Neocallimastigales. Its description in RNAcentral is "partial large subunit ribosomal RNA". It matches the Rfam family "Eukaryotic large subunit ribosomal RNA", at positions 22 to 645 of the family's 3401-position model. Lineage: Eukaryota; Fungi; Neocallimastigomycota; Neocallimastigomycetes; Neocallimastigales. The record is from RNAcentral.